RNAcentral lists this transfer RNA (68 nucleotides) under Cryptocephalus aureolus. Its description in RNAcentral is "tRNA-Ser". Lineage: Eukaryota; Metazoa; Arthropoda; Insecta; Coleoptera; Chrysomelidae. The record is from RNAcentral.
GAAGUAUGUAAAAACAAACUGAAGCUUCUAACUUCAAGUUUAAGCGAUGUAAUUUCGUUUAUACUUCU